This 8392-nucleotide long non-coding RNA is filed under the name Xyrichtys novacula (pearly razorfish). The record is from RNAcentral. Lineage: Eukaryota; Metazoa; Chordata; Actinopteri; Labriformes; Labridae.
AGGAGGUUAUGUUUUCGGUAGCGUUUGUUUGUUUGUGUUUGUUUGUUUGUUUGUUUGCCUGUGAACAACUUUACAGAGAAAGUUACAGACGGAUUGACCUGAAAUUUUCACCAGAGGUGCGUCUCAGCCCCAGGACGAUCCCAUUACGUUUUGGUGGUGAUCCGGAUCGCCUUCUGGAUCCAGGAAUUUUUUGAAGGAUUCUUUAUCAUUGUGAGAUAGGGCACAUUUUGUAAUUUUUGCAUUUAACUCUAUAAAAAUGGCCAGAGUCUUUAGUAAAAAAUUACACAAAAAGAUCUCAAUGAGUUUUAUGAGGUGUCAAAGGUUGAUCCUGAUCCAGACAAAAUUCUGGAUACUGUGAUCCAGAACACACAAAAAUAAGGGUGUCGUUGGAAUUCUCAAUGUUGAAAGAUAACCAAUGAAGAUACAAGGAAGUGUACGCUUACAAAUAUUGCAUAAUAAAUCAUGCAUUUAUGUAUCUAGAAACAUUAUGAACAGUGAACAUACCAGUUUAAACACAAAUAAAAGUUAAUAAAAGACACGUAACAGUAAAAGUUUUGGUGUGAAUCACAAUAUAAGGGGGGACAUGAGCUGCUUGGCGGAGGUCUGCGCUCUCUGAGUGCUUUUCUAGUUCUUUAUGGAAUCUUAGACUUCUUGAUUAUUCAAUGUCAUGAACUGAUUUUUCUCACUGAAAGUUGUCUUUAGAAGUGGAUCAUGGUCACUGAUUUUUACAUCUCAGAGUUGUGUGUAAAACAAAUAAGCAGCUGUGCUUCAACCAUCCCUGACCUCACAUAUUUUUUCUGGAAUAUCAUCAAGAGAAACUGUGUGUCCAGGUAUGAAUUGAUCUCAUGUUGAACAUAGAUGCAUAACACUAAUACAAUCACUGACUGUGAAACCAUUGUUUAUAUAUCUUGGUAUGAACAUGUCCAUUGAUGAACCAAUUAUUUGUUUGAAUUGGUGAUGUUGUUGACCCUUCACAUACACACACAGACAGAUCUUCUUCAUUUAGUGAUCAAUCUAGGACCUCCUGUUCUGAUCUGCAUGUUUAAUGUGAAACAAACUCUGCUGUUAUGUAAUGUUUGCUGAUGUUACUCUCCUGAGGAUCUCCACAGCACACAGUCAGCAGCAGGUCCUAUUAUUAAGAAACAAAAAAAAGUCAUGACAGCAAUGAAAUAUUCAGGAGCAGUCAGUCUAGAAGAGCGAGAGGCUGUGGAAGUGUCACCCGGUUAUCUCGUCACCACUGGCAUGAGAACAAAUGAAGGGAGGAAGCACUUUCUGUCCUCUUUCUCUGCCAGUCAGUCACUGUUUCGCCUCCAGCGGUGAAACUUGCUGAGUGUGCAUCCUGUGAAUCAGUGUGUGUGUGUGUGUGUGUGUGUGGUUGUAUGUCGUCCUGGACGUUUCAUUAUAUAAGGACCACGGCAGCAGCAGCAGUGUUACAGAGUGACAUACAACGAGCGUCAUGGCCCGUGAGCCUGUGAAAAGCUUCAUCCAGCCGCUGCAGUGGAGUCAGAGUCCUGCAGUCCAUUUGCACAGCUCUCUUUAGUGUCUUCAUUACACGCUCAAUUAUCUGGGCCUGAGAUAAGAGCAGGAGGACUGGAUCAGCACCAGGACCAUUUUUUUCUCCAUAGGGAAUAAUGACAUUGUAAAGCGGUACCAUCAGAGUCUCUUGUUGACAAGAUACUUCAUCAGUCUAUGAAAAAAUACAAAUACAGGUAAAUAAUGCUAAGGUAACCAGCUCUGUUUGACACAAACAUGAUUAAUUUCAUGAGCUCUGCUACCCUCUAGUGGAGUUAAAAUAUUUCUACAUCAGGAUGCCUGAUGCUCCCUAAAAACACAGCUACACACUUGAUUUAAAUGUUAAUGUCAAUUAAGUUGAGACGUUGUGUAAAAUGUGAAUAAAAGCAGAAAAAAUGAUUAAUAAAUCUCUUCCACCUAUAGUCAGUUGAAUACACCACAAAAAUAUUUAAAGUUUAAACUGAUAAACUUGAUCGUUUUCUUAUAAAUAUUCACUCAUUUUGAAUUUGAUGUCGACUGCAAGUUCCUAAAAAGUUGGUUCAGGGUCAACAAAAGUCUGGGAAAACUGAGGACUGCUCCAAAAAGACAUGUUUGGUUCAUUCCACAGGUGAACAGGUUCAGUGGAAACAGGUGAGGGUCAUGACUGAGUACAUAGGGAGCAUCCCUGAAAGGCUCAGUCUUUCACAAGCAAGGAUGGCGCCAGGUUCACCACAUCGUCCACAACUGUGUGAUCAAAUAGUCCACCAGUUUAAGAACAACGUUUCUCAUGGUACAACUGCAGGAAUUUACAGAUUUGAUCACUUACAGUCCAUAAAACCAUCAAAAGAUUAAGAGAAUUAAUCUCUGCAUGUAAGCAGCAAGACCCAAUACCAACAAUGAAUGACUGUGACCUUUAACCCCUCGUGCCCACAUCAUUCUGUGGAGGAUUUUAUUACUUUGGCUCAGGAGGACUUCAGAAAACCAUUGUCAGUCAACAUAAGUUUAAACCUUACUAUGCAAAGCCAAAGUCAGACAUUAACAACAGCCAGAAACAAUGCAGGUUUCUCUGGACAUGAGCACAUCUGAGAUGGACUGACAAAAAGUGGAUAAGUCUGCUGUGGUCUGACCACUUCAUAUUUUAGAUAGUCUUUGGAAAUCAUGGGUGCGGUUUUCUCCUGGCUAAAGAGGAAAACGUGGGGAGCAUUAUGAUGUACAAAUUACCUCAAUGACAAUCCUAGACUGUUGAGCAUCUUAAGUGGUCCAUCAAUCAAGACUGUGAAAGAAAUCACCUCCAAAGCCUCAACAGUUAGUGUCCUCGGUUUACAAAGGCUUACUGAGUGUUGUUAAAGGAAAGGUGAUGUGACACAGAGAGAAACAUGACCCUGAACCAGCUUUUUAGGACAAUGUUCAGAAAUGAAAUUAAAAAUAAGUAAAUAUUUACAAACAAAAAAAACAAUCAAGUUUAUCCGUAUGAACAUUAAAUACUCUGUCGUUGUAGUGUAUUCAGUUGAAUAUAGAAAAAAUAACCAUGUUUCUACAGGCUCAUGGUGAGUUUUGUCUUUGGAAAAAUGGUAAUGUAGUAAUAGAGUGAGGAGAAGGUGAGGUUUAUUAUAUCGUACCAGGGAAAUAAAAACAAUAAAUAUAUAGGAUCAACAAACUCCGGUGUUCACAGAAAAUAAUUAAGACAAAUUAAAAAGACUGAAGGUACUGCCUGCAGCAUCUACAUGUCAGUCUCUACCUCUUUCUGCAGCUGGACCUUGUUGAACACCACCUACAUAAUGCCUUAAUAAAGGCUCAAAGAUUUACAGCAAAGGAUCAAACCAGUCUGAAUUUUUCUCAUCACUUGCUGCAGCUUCAAAAAUAUGAUGUAGAGAUUCAGUCAACACCAGAGGAUGCUGUUGCACUCACAACCUCUCAAAAAAGUGAGCUGCACUACCUACAACCAACCUAAAGUCCAGAAUAAACAGCAGGUACAAUAAUGAGAAACUGGUUAUCCUAAAACUGUUUUAACGUCUCAUCUAACUCGACAAAUGAUCCCAGUUUGUGGUCAGAGGUAUCACAGACUGACAUCACAUCACAUCCAGUGUGAAUUUUAACUGUUUUCUGAGUUGGUCAUCACUUCCCUAUCGUCUUUCUUGAUUCUAAUGUCUGGCACCAUACAGGGCUGGAAUGUAGCAGUGAAUACGUAGCCUAAAGCACCCCUCUUGCCAAUGCAUUAGUGGAUUGUUUUACUACAUGUCGUAGGAGGUCAACUGGGGCACAAAUCAUUGCAACUCAGCAUAGCAGGUUUCAUGUUGUGUUUAAGGACUGAGACCAGGACAGUACUCCAGUUUAAUCACUUAAUUGAGCCAUAAAGGAGUCUCAGUUUUUGGAAGUAUGUCUAUGACGGACAUGCUUUUGUUUUCUGCUUGGAGCUUGUAGACUGGGAUAAAGACAGCAGUUGAGUUAAAUGGCCUGAUUGAACUAUAACUACAGCUCCACUUAAAGGUGGAGUACGCAGGAAUCCGUAAAGAAACAUCUUUUCUUGUGGUGUAAAUACAAAAAAGCUUUUAAUAUCAGUCAAUAGCUAUUAGUUAUUGAUUACAUUUGGUAAUAUAACGAUAUAGCUGUGUUUUGUUAUGUCUGUGUAGUCAACAUUGUAACAUUUUUCAGCAGCACGCUCUUUCUGACUGUAAACAAAGCCCUUAUCCGCCUCCCCUAACCUGAUUGGUUGUGAGGCAGAUGCUGCUCCUUAGUGCUGAUUGGUUGUGAGGCAGACACUGCUCCCUCGUGUUGUGAGGCACGCUCCAGGGGCCUCAUUUAUCAACCGUGCGUACGCACAGAUGUGUGCGUAAAAAGUGCGUACGAACAUUCCCACGCAGAGUCUGGAAUUUAUCAACCUGUACUUGUGCUUAGGAACCUGCGUAAAUUUAAGCACAACUCUGACCAUGCGUACACACAAAACCUAGUGGUAGGACAGUAAAACUACAAAUAGAACCCAUUAAAGGAGUCACAGCGUUCCACAAUCUCAAACUCCACACAUGUUCAUGUUGCCUCUAUACAAAAUUUAUCAAUUAGUAAUUUAGCAGACAUUUUGAAUGAUUGGUGAGACAAGCUAUAAAAAUCUGCUGUGACAGGACAACCUCAAAAGAAGUCUUACAAGUACAAAUACAAGUAUCACGGUUUAUUUAUCAAGCUUGCAUACGGCAGAAAACUUGUGUAUACCCUGCGUACGAAAAUUUUGACUUGAGGAUCGGCAUUUAUCAAUCUGCACGUAAGCGUACGCUACGACCAAAUCUCACGUCUGACAGGUCUGACAUCGUGUACGCAAGUUUGAGUCAAUGUGGAUCUGCGGUGCAGCAAAUGUCUGUCUUAAAAUAAUUGAUAAACAAACCUCAAAGCUGUCAUUAAGCACAAUCAGCCAGAUUUCAGUAAAGAUUAAGACGUAAAUAAAAUAAUAUAAAUUUGUUAUGUCCUUAGUGAAUGGGCCUAUUUGAUAACUCUGCCCAGAAACACUGCCACAGAGCAGGAGCGCUGUUUUAUCAUUACACAUACGCGCGCCACUAUGGAGUGCUGCGUUUGACUCCUAAAAGACAGGUGUCUCUGUGUUGGCCCAGCAGCGGGGACGUUGUUGUACCCUCCUAAAAGGGUGUGGGACAUCAUUUGGGCUGUUACAGUUUUGCACAAUGUUGCUCUGGCGAAUGGAGUGCCGUUGGCUGUGCCUGUCCAACGUGAGGACCCGAUGCCCGGAGAACAAUAACGAGGAGAGACUCCACAAAGGUGCUGUACAGAGGAGACAGGACCUUAUCGAUGGAUUCUGACAUGUUAAAUAUAAGUUUAGAAGGUGCUCUUGCUAUUUAAUCGGUUACAAAAAUCUAAUAGAAAUCCAUUUAAUGUGCCUCAGGGGCAGCAACACACCGUUUGGUGAGGUUAAUAAUUAUUUUUGUUCAGCCAGUCUACAGUCUGCUCUACAUUACAAAGACGCAACAAAUUGAAACUACAUACUUUCAACAAUUGGAGCAACGUACCCUAUGUCAUGGCAAUAAAAAAUAUGAGGCAUGUAUGAGAUAUUAGUUUGUCAUCAUAAGCAACUUAUUGACUAAUGAUUUAUUCAAACUUCAGCAGUGCUGUUCAGUGCCACCAUAAUCCUGCUCCAGACAGGAUCUCUAGAUCUCAGCGACCAGAGUAAAAAACAGGCCCACAUAAAUCCUGAUCUAGUGUCUUUACACUGGUUCCCUGUACAUUUGAGACUAUAAGAUCUUCUUAUUCAGACACUUAUUAUUUGUCACUUUUAAAGCUCUCUAUGGGGUUUCCCCCAGCCAUAUUUUAGACCUGUUAAAAAGUACAUUAAGAUCCUUUGGAAGAGGUCUUCAGUGUAUUCCAAAAACCAGACUGAAGGUAACAAAGCAUUUGCAGUGAGAGAUGAUCUGCCUGAAGGAAUCAGGUCAGCUAAGUCAGAGAUCUAUUUUCAAUCUAUAAACAUAGUCCAUUUACAAUUUAAAUAGCAUUACCCAACUAAGACUCCAACCUUUCCAUAUCUGACAUCAUUAUCAUUAAUGCAGCCAGAGCCCAUACAGAAGCUUAUCAAAGAGCCUUAUCAUGGCAGGAUAGCUCGCUGGUGUCAAACUGAGAGUGAUUCGGGAUGGUGACUUCAUUUCCUUAUCCAGAGAAAUCGAUUGAAACCACCCAGCCUCAGAGCGGCUACCACCUACCAGCUUCAAACCUUUAGGAAGUGCCGACCCAGGAUGAAAUACUGCCCUGGGAUCCUGCUGGUUUCCAGUCACUGCGUGUGAGUGGCUACUGUAUCUUUUCAAUAGACGUCCCAGAUGAUAUGACCAUAACAGAUGCAGGUCAUGAAUCAAAGGUCUUAAACCACCCGGCUAGCUGAUGUCUUCAACAUGUGCUUCAGUCAGAUCUCUGAAACACAUCAUGGACACACCACAUAGAAACACACUCAGAACAGAACAGACUCUCCUGUCCCAGUGUCUGCUGUCCGCUUUGUCCUCUCUACCUGAUGUAGAUCUACAUCUGAAUCUUGCACAGACCACAUGGACGAUCCAGCCUCGUGUGAACUGAGCCUAUGAACGCAAUGACCCCAUCACUCCAACCAAACCUGCAAGAAAAUAAAGCCUGUGCAGAAAUUCGGCCCAGCCUUUAAAAGCAGAAGUCUUGUGGCUUUUCCUCGGCUCAGCUCGAGUUAGAAAAGCAUCAAAGUGCCUGAAAAUAAGGAUCACAUGUGUUUCAAAUAUGCUGAAAUUUAAUUGAUAAUAAAUUUGUGCUUAUGAAGACAUCAGACGGAGAAGUGCUUAAAGGUGUGGCUUUGUUGGAGGUGCAGGAAAUCAGAGAAGAAGAAAAGUAAACCAUGUGGUUUCAGCUUGUUUUUGGAGGUUUGAGUUUACUAAACCAAACAGUCUAGCUGCACCUGUUUUUAUAAAAUUCACUAGUUGAACUCAAUCCAAGCCACAGUGCAGGUGGUGUGUAAAUAUGUACCGACACUAUCUGUAAUAAAACCAAAAUUUAUAAGCACCAGUCUGCUGUUUUAAAGAUCUUCAAAGCACAGAGCUGGAGGCUGUAGUUCAGGAUGCAGAGCCAGAAUUUGCUCCCAAAUCAUUGAAAAAAGCUUUAAGUUUGACUUUGAAUCAACAUUUAUAGACUGUAAGGUAGUUUUUUCUCCAAGUGUGUUUGACUCUGUGUGGCCACAGUUAUAUUCCAGCAGAUAGGCGUGUGUUCCCUCACCUCUUCUGUUUGUGUGGUCUGGAGCUGCUCUGAACAGAGGCACAAAGUUCAGCUCGCUGAAGACUCUGUGAUCCAGUCCCAUCUUAGCAAUGAUGAUUCUGCUCACAGCCCAGUGCUGGAUAAAUUCAUUGACAAAUAAAGGCAUCACAGACAAAAGAAAUAAAAACUGUUAUUUACAAUUAUGAGAAACAGAAAUGCAGUGGCACAGAUAUUUCUGCACUGAAGUUGGUUAUACACUCACCUUGGAUACCCGAGUUGCUGCUGUUUUUUUUGUUUUGCAAUGGUCACAUGCUGUGGGUCAGGUUUGUGUUGUGAAUAUAAACAUUUACUUGGUUUGAACAAUUAUGACUUAUUGCAAGCAAAAAAUCUCAAAUACUAGAAAGUGUUUUUGUCUAAUUUGUCAUAAAAUGAUUUUUUUUAGGCUGAAUUUGAGCAACUUUUUUCAGACAGGUCCAGAUAAAUGUCAAAAUAUUAGGCUACUGCCAAAAUUGAAAAGUGCUUGAAAUGAGUAAGAAAAUAAUUGAAAAAUGGAAGAGGAAAAAUGUUCUUGUCAAGGUCUGGAACUACAAUGUUUUAUUUCUCCAAGUGCUGCACAGUGUUCAUUUUUCCAUCUAAUGCUGCAGCCCUGAAAGUGUCAAAGAAAAGAAUAUCAAGAUUCUUUCAGUUCUUUGUCACUCAAAAACAUUUUUCAAGACAUGCGAGUUAAUACAUUUGCCAGUAAUUGUUUCAACCACCUCUAUGUAUAACUAUUAUGCAUAACUAUGUCAACCACCUUUAUGUAGAACUAUUUAUGUAGGACUACUUCAACCACUGUUUUGUAGAACUAUUUAUUACCUCCGCCAGGGAGGUUAUGUUUUUGGUAGCGUUGGUUUGUAUGUCUGUUAGCAACUUUACGGAGAAAGUUACAGACGGAUUGACCUGAAAUUUUCACCAGAGGUGCGUCUCAGCCCCAGGACGAUCCCAUUACAUUUUGGUGGUGAUCCGGAUCGCCUUCUGGAUCCAGGAAUUUUUUGAAGGAUUCUUUAUCAUUGUGAGAUAGGGCACAUUUUGUAAUUUUUGCAUUUAACUCUAUAAAAAUGGCCAGAGUCUUUAGUAAAAAAUUACACAAAAGGAUCUCAAUGAGUUUUAUGAGGUGUCAAAGGUUGAUCCUGAUCCAGACAAAAUUCCAGAUACUGUGAUCCAGAAC